Molecule: long non-coding RNA, 240 nt
Filed under: Elaeis guineensis (African oil palm)
Lineage: Eukaryota; Viridiplantae; Streptophyta; Magnoliopsida; Arecales; Arecaceae
Description: long non-coding RNA (EGUI_LNC058578)
Source: RNAcentral
CCUUCCUUCAGGCCCUAUACAUCCCUUCGAGGAUGGCCUUCGGAGUGGAGGGCAUGACGUGGGAUCCCCUUAAAGAAGAAUCGAGGGACUGAAGACAGCGAGGGCUGGUGCGGAGGAAGUGGCUGAAUAGUUAGGCUCUCAGACGAAAGAAAGAUGCUAUCCAUUCGGCAUGAUGGAGCCCCAAAGGAAGAGUAAGGGGUUUAAAUAGCCAGCGGAUCUUAGCACAGUUAUGGCGGCGGG